AUUAGGUGGCUCCAAAGGAGCCCCUACCCCCAGCAGGCUUAUCAGGAAGGGGGCUAGCCAGGCUGAUCCGGAAAAAGCCAGCUGGAGAUUAAGGAAGUUAUUAAUGUUUGGAAAUGGGAUCUGGGCUGUCAGGGUAUCACGUCACUGCUGCUGAGGGGACAGGCAGGCAAGGAGAGCCCAGCAACUGUUCGUAGGGACAGCAUUUUAAAGCUCCUUCCAUGGAGCAAGGAAACAGCCCAGUCAUAAAGCUCCCUGAUGCCUGGAACCCAUGGGGCCAGGGGCUGGGGGCGGUAGGUUGAAGGACUGAGAAAGUAAUGUUCUAUUGAGUCAAGAGGGACAGACUGUAGUUUGGAGCCCUGGGAGAGUUCCUGGCUGGUGGCUGGGGGCAUGCUGGGACCAGGGAAGAGGCUGGCUCUGCAUCUCCCCAGCGCUCCCUGGACUGCUGGCCCCCUCCUGCUUCCAAAGCUGUCAUCUUUGAACCCUUGUCUGCAGGCUUUGUGCUGAUUGGAGGUGGUUGUAAACAUCAGCCCAAACCAAGCAUAAGGAAGGCGAAAGCUUGACCAAAAAUGAUCGUGUGGGGGAGUGAGUGGAGAGAAGGCAGAGCCCCACGUGCACAGUAAACCGGAGCGCCCUGCGAGGCGUUCUGAAGUCAAGGAGAUGUGGUUUAUUUACAGAGGCGCCUGCGUGGGCUCUUCAGUGCCAGUGGUUGUGGUAAUUAAGAGUUGACAAUAUCUGUUUGGUCCUGGUUCCCGCGGUUUUAGCUUCCGCCUUCUCUUCCUCUCCUGGCGUCUCCUGCGUGGCCAUGAGGAAGGCCCGGCGGUCAUGCCCAGUUCCGAGGGCUCCCGGGGCUCCCUCCCACCACUCCAGGACCCUGUAGCCCAUUCACUACCUGUUCUCUCCAGAAUGCCUCUUGCGCCCCAUCUCUCCCUUCAGAGAAGGCUUCCCCGUGUCCACCCGCCGUGCCCACAGAGCUUGCUCCUGUACAAGUGUGCAGCCUCACGCUGCAGGAAGUCCCUGUGCCCAGUUCACUGUCAACUCCAGGGCCACAGCAACCAUGAGCUCUGACCUGGACAACCUGCAGCAACCAAGUCCUGCCCCAGGGGCAAGCCACUGACAUCAGUGCUGCCAUCUGUGGAAAAACUGACCCUUCCUUGCUCAGAGGAUGAGCCCAGGAGUUCCAGGUGCUCCGCGUUGCAAAAGUAACUUAAUCCUCACAGCAACAACUGAGGUAAACCUUGCGAGUUUCCUGGGGCAACUCAGUCAAAGAGGGGUCAAAUGCCAUGCUCAAGGUCAUUUGGCUAGUGAGUGGGACAGCCAGGGUUUAAACCCUGGUGAUCUGCUUCAGAGUUCAUACUCUUUGCCUUGACAUCCCAUCAUCCACUCCAGAGGUGGAUGGUUAGUGGUUCUCAAAGUGUGCUCUUUGGAACCCCCAGGGUUCCCUGGAAUCUCUCAGGGGCUGUGGUGGCGGAGGCUGAGCAGAUACGGCUGUGGCCUCUCAAGCCCUGUCCAGUCAGAGCAGCGUCAUUUCCCUCAGCUUCACAUCUUGAGCUUUUGCAGGAAAUUCCAUUUGAAGAAGGGGAUGUGUUACUAAGGGAAGUUGAAACCCCUCUGGAACGGUGACUCUAGGGUCCCCUGCAGCGUAAAGAACGCCAUCAUCUUUUAGGAAGCUGACUCUUCCCCUCCCCAAGAUCCCCGACCCCCCUCAGCAUCCCUUGGACAGUCCUUGAAGGCAGGGUGAGACAAACGCUUGCCACUGCAAAUUGCCUUGAUGUUGGGAGUAAAAGUGACAAGGCGUCCUUGGCCGGCGUGCCCUCAAGUGAUGUUACCGUCAAGGGGUGCAAGCGAGUUCUCGCCUGCCAGUCAGAGCGAACCAUUCCCAGAGCAGGGAGUCACGGUGUCUCUGGCUGGAAGGGACCUUGAAAGUCAUGAGUCAGGCCCCACCGACGCACAGCCCCCUGGGCAGCCCGGGCACUGACAGGGAGCUGCCUCUGCAGGAGGCUGGCCCUCCCCGAUGCACCGUGAGGUGAGGCCCGCUGUGCCUUGCACUGAGCCGACUCCCUCGAACCCUCCCCUGUGGUCCUGAGCCUGCCUCCGGAGCUGCGGGGAGCAAGCGGGCUGCUCGGCCGCAUGACUGGCCUCCAAAUCCUUGCCGACAGUUUUCAUGUCCCCUUCAAGUCUUCUCCAGGCAAAGCCGCCCGGGCCCUUCCAUCCCUUCCUCAGAUGACAUACAUGGUUUCAAGUCCCCUUAUUGUCAGCAUAUUAACAUCUGGGGAAAGAAAAUAUUGCAGGUCUAGUCAGCCUUUGACAGGGCUGAAUUCUGCAACCUAUCCUUGGGCAGAGGAGACAUCCCGGGUCCCUGAGGGUGAGAUGCAGACAAGGGCAGACAGAUGACAUCGGGAGACCUGGGAGGUAGGGUGAGCCGGGAGCUGGGCAGAACCAAGCCUGCCAGACCAAUCCCGGGGGUGUCUUGGGAGUGCUGCGUGGGCUCAGCCUGCUGCUGCCCCCCACCCCGGGUCUGUGGUGGGCAUGCAGCUAAUCAGAGCUCUGGGCGAAUGCUCUGAAUCCUGUGGGCAGAGCCGGUGCUCCUGGCUGAGCCGCUUCCCAAGCAGAUCUCAGAUCAAGCCUGUGAGCCACGGGAGAUAGUCCCACUCCGAGGGAGGACAACCUGUCCAUGCACAGUCCCCCUCUCCAGCAAGUCAGCUCCGUGAGGGUAGGGCUUGCUUUCUUGCUCACCACUAUAUUUAUUCCCAGCACUGAGGACAAAGCCUGGCAUAUAGUAGGUGCUUGAUAAAAGCUUGUUGUAAGAAUGAAUGUGGAAGAAAGCCAGCCCUCUUGGAAUAAAGAUAACAAUGGAGGCUACCAGUUAUUAAGCACCUAUGGUAUACUACACAGUGGGGCCUGUGAACAUAGGAGCUAUAUCUGCUUUGCUUGCUGCAGUACCCUUUGUGAGAAGUAUGGUAUCUGACACACAGAGUUGCUUAGCAAAUAUUUGUUGAAUGUUCAA
Marmota monax (woodchuck) is the source of this 3004-nucleotide long non-coding RNA. RefSeq lists it as uncharacterized. The record is from RefSeq and is a predicted model, not a curated record. Lineage: Eukaryota; Metazoa; Chordata; Mammalia; Rodentia; Sciuridae. The transcript has 2 exons.